AGUUCCAUAUUGUGAAUCAGCAAUUCUCACUAUUGGUACAUAGUCCAACACUUGCUAGUUGCAUUCUAGGUGGAAGUAUUUCAAAGAAACAAGUUUCUCUGAUAGACUAAUAAUAGACCAAAACCCGAGCAAAUUUCAAAGCAUGUCGCCAACCACAACUCUUUUUUGUGUGUAAAUGUUCACUGGUAAAGUGGUAAUUAAUGAACGUUUUGAAUUUUGAUUAAAAGCUAUAAGACCAUCUCCAACGAGAGGAUGUAAUCAAAAAAUUGUUGGGCUCUCUUGUUUAAUGACAAUAAAAAUAAAUUAAAACUGAUAAAAAUCAAGAGAGUCGGCUUUCUGGAGAGAGUUUUGAGAAUUUGAGAGAACCGUCGAUGUGGCAACAUGUGAUUGGGUUUUCAAUUUCAACAAAAAAAUAAAUGUGUGCGCGUUCUGUUCUAUCUUCUUUCUCCUCUCUGCCCAAACGAAAUUGACCAAAAGAUGCAAAGCCCAAUCAUCGUUUCUUCUGAAAACUUUUCGCAUUUGAUAUCUUUUCUUUGAAACUGAAAUCAAGAUACACAAACUGAAACCAAUUUGUUCACCAAAAGAAAAUAAAAAUGCGUGGGUUUCGAUUUCAAAGAUAUUCAGGAAAAGAUCUCCGAUAGCUUUCGUCUAUGGCAACACUCUUUUCAAUUCUGGGUUCGAGCUUCGUGGUUUUAAAAGCUUGUAAUUUCGUGUGAUCAAGCUCCUGCGACGCCGUUUGAUGCGAUUCAACUUUGAAAAUUUGAUGAAAAGCCUCUUGGUUAUGCUUCUAUUGCUCAGGUAUUAUAGAUUAUGGUGGAAACUUAACAAUUAAGUAAACAUGAUUGAGUUAGAGUAUUUAGGAGCUUGUAAAGCAGAAGGUCUUGGUGAUGGACCCAUAAUGAAGCUGUAUAUUUAUGUUGUAAUUGAGGAAGAUAAUCUGGUCAUAAUGCUUUCUAGAAUUAGCUACUCUUGCCGUAGAAUUAUUAUCUCUUGACGUGGAAUUGUAGCAACAUUGUCAAACUCUGGUUAUGUUUAUACUAAGACAAUAUCAUUUAUUUGCUUUCUUAGGUUCACAGAGGAAGUAUAAAGGGUAACAAGAUGAAUGUUGUUGUAAAGGUGAACAUUAUCGGAAGUUCUAGAUGGGGCUGAAGCCUCUGCUCGAGCUAUGACAGAGGUCGACCCCAAAGGAAUUUUCAAGUCCACGGGUCUGUUUUCCUUUUACUGAUCACUCUGUUUUUUUUCCUUUAACUUAUCUAUGGAGUAAAUGUGAAGCCAUACUAGUCUCAUUUGAGCCCUCUAAAAUGCAGGCUAUGGUAACUAUUUGUUUAUGCUUGCUCCGUCAACCAAUGAAUCAUUCAGACAAAUGGUCAUUUCCGAUGCAGUCUCUGUUUUGAUGCCGAGGUAACUGAGAUUACUUAUGGUAACUCUAUGGUUCUUGAUCAUGGUUGGAUUGACACUUUGAACAAGAAAUGGGAUUUGGUUCAUUGCAUUGAGGUUAGCUUAGGUUUGGCUUUUAAUAAAGUUUCUAUUUGAGUGGAAUUGUAAAAUAGAAUUGAUGUCUAGUACGUGUUUGAUGAAAUUCCUCUAAGAGUGAACCUUAAAUCGUGUGUAUUAAGCUUUGUUUCUUGAUAAACAACUAAUGAUUUAGAGUUCUCUUCACGUUAUUGUGAUGG
Molecule: small RNA, 1673 nt
Filed under: Arabidopsis thaliana (thale cress)
Lineage: Eukaryota; Viridiplantae; Streptophyta; Magnoliopsida; Brassicales; Brassicaceae
Description: ATSL188500
Source: RNAcentral